AAAAGCAGGGGAUCGUAAGACCUCGCGCUAUUGGAGCGGCCGAUGUCCGAUUAGCUAGUUGGUGGGGUAAUGGCCUACCAAGGCGACGAUCGGUAGCUGGUUUGAGAGGAUGAUCAGCCACACUGGGACUGAGACACGGCCCAGACUCCUACGGGAGGCAGCAGUGGGGAAUUUUGGACAAUGGGCGAAAGCCUGAUCCAGCCAUGCCGCGUGAGUGAAGAAGGCCUUCGGGUUGUAAAGCUCUUUCGGCCGGAACGAAAUCGUCCGGGCUAAUACCCCGGAUGGAUGACGGUACCGGAAGAAGAAGCACCGGCUAACUACGUGCCAGCAGCCGCGGUAAUACGUAGGGUGCAGGCGUUAAUCGGAAUUACUGGGCGUAAAGCGUGCGCAGGCGGCUUCCUAAGUCAGAUGUGAAAUCCCCGGGCUUAACCUGGGAACUGCGUUUGAAACUACAAAGC
This 458-nucleotide ribosomal RNA is filed under the name uncultured beta proteobacterium. Its description in RNAcentral is "bacterial SSU rRNA". It matches the Rfam family "Bacterial small subunit ribosomal RNA", at positions 202 to 641 of the family's 1533-position model. Lineage: Bacteria; Pseudomonadati; Pseudomonadota; Betaproteobacteria. The record is from RNAcentral.